RNAcentral lists this ribosomal RNA (253 nucleotides) under uncultured bacterium. Its description in RNAcentral is "partial 16S ribosomal RNA". It matches the Rfam family "Bacterial small subunit ribosomal RNA", at positions 524 to 777 of the family's 1533-position model. The record is from RNAcentral.
UACGUAGGUGACAAGCGUUGUCCGGAUUUACUGGGCGUAAGAGCGCGCAGGCGGUCGAUCAAGUCGAGUGUGAAAGCCCCCGGCUCAACUGGGGAGGGUCAUUCGAAACUGGUCGACUCGAAGGCAGGAGAGGGUAGUGGAAUUCCCGGUGUAGUGGUGAAAUGCGUAGAUAUCGGGAGGAACACCAGUGGCGAAGGCGACUACCUGGCCUGUUCUUGACGCUGAGGCGCGAAAGCUAGGGGAGCAAACGGGG